GACGAACGCUGGCGGCGUGCUUAACACAUGCAAGUCGAGCGGUAAGGCCCUUUCGGGGGUACACGAGCGGCGAACGGGUGAGUAACACGUGGGUGACCUGCCCUCAGCUCUGGGAUAAGCCCGGGAAACUGGGUCUAAUACCGGAUAUGACUCCAUGACGCAUGUUGUGGGGUGGAAAGCCUUGUGCGGCUGAGGAUGGGCCCGCGGCCUAUCAGCUUGUUGGUGGGGUGAUGGCCACCAAGGCGACGACGGGUAGCCGGCCUGAGAGGGCGACCGGCCACACUGGGACUGAGAUACGGCCCAGACUCCUACGGGAGGCAGCAGUGGGGAAUAUUGCGCAAUGGCCUAACGGCUGACGCAGCGACGCCGCGUGGGGAUGACGCUUUUCGGAGU
RNAcentral lists this ribosomal RNA (393 nucleotides) under uncultured bacterium. Its description in RNAcentral is "bacterial SSU rRNA". It matches the Rfam family "Bacterial small subunit ribosomal RNA", at positions 28 to 424 of the family's 1533-position model. The record is from RNAcentral.